GGGGCCUUAGCUUAGCUGGGAGAGCGCCUGCCUUGCACGCAGGAGGUCAGGGGUUCGAAUCCCUAGGCUCCACCA
This 75-nucleotide transfer RNA is filed under the name Mycoplasmatota bacterium. RNAcentral's name for it is "Tenericutes bacterium tRNA-Ala". It matches the Rfam family "tRNA". From Rfam's summary of the family: Transfer RNA (tRNA) molecules are approximately 80 nucleotides in length. Their secondary structure includes four short double-helical elements and three loops (D, anti-codon, and T loops). Lineage: Bacteria; Bacillati; Mycoplasmatota. The record is from RNAcentral.